RNAcentral lists this ribosomal RNA (550 nucleotides) under Lactarius deterrimus. RNAcentral describes it as "LSU rRNA". It matches the Rfam family "Eukaryotic large subunit ribosomal RNA", at positions 89 to 612 of the family's 3401-position model. The record is from RNAcentral. Lineage: Eukaryota; Fungi; Basidiomycota; Agaricomycetes; Russulales; Russulaceae.
GCGAGUGAAGCGGGAAAAGCUCAAAUUUAAAAUCUGGCGGUCUUUGGCCGUCCGAGUUGUAAUUUAGAGAAGCGUCUUCCGCGCCGGACCGUGCACAAGUCUCCUGGAAUGGAGCGUCAUAGAGGGUGAGAAUCCCGUCUUUGGCACGGAUGCCUGUGCUUCUGYGAUGCGCUCUCAAAGAGUCGAGUUGUUUGGGAAUGCAGCUCAAAAUGGGUGGUGAACUCCAUCUAAAGCUAAAUAUUGGCGAGAGACCGAUAGCGAACAAGUACCGUGAGGGAAAGAUGAAAAGCACUUUGGAAAGAGAGUGAAACAGUACGUGAAAUUGUUGAAAGGGAAACGCUUGAAGUCAGUCGCGUCGACCGAGACUCAGCCUUGCCUUGGCUUGGUGUACUUCUCGGCCCGACGGGUCUGCAUCAAUUUUGCCCCUCGGAUAAUGACAAGGGAAAGGUGGCACCUUUGCGGGUGUGUUAUAGUCUCCUGUCGCAUGCGAGGGGUGGGAUUGAGGAACUCAGCGCGCACCUUGGUGUCGGGGCUUCGGCCCACAUCACGC